GUCGUACGGGUGCGUAACGCGUAUGCAACCUACCUAUCACUGGGGGAUAGCCCGGGGAAACCCGGAUUAAUACCGCAUAAAACAGGGGCACCGCAUGGUGAUAUUUGUUAAAGAUUUAUUGGUGAUAGAUGGGCAUGCGUUCGAUUAGCUAGUUGGCGGGGUAACGGCCCACCAAGGCGACGAUCGAUAGGGGAGCUGAGAGGUUGAUCCCCCACACGGGCACUGAGAUACGGGCCCGACUCCUACGGGAGGCAGCAGUAGGGAAUAUUGGGCAAUGGAUGCAAGUCUGACCCAGCCAUGCCGCGUGCCGGAUGAAGGCCCUCAAGGUUGUAAACGGCUUUUAUUCGGGAAGAAGAGCAGGGAUGCGUCCUUGUGUGACGGUACCGAAUGAAUAAGCACCGGCUAACUCCGUGCCAGCAGCCGCGGUAAUACGGAGGGUGCGAGCGUUGUCCGGAUUUAUUGGGUUUAAAGGGUGCGUAGGUGGCCUUAUAAGUCAGUGGUGAAAUACGGUUGCUCAACAAUCGAGGUGCCAUUGAUACUGUGAGGCUUGAAAUAAUUGGAGGCUGCCGGAAUGGAUGGUGUAGC
Molecule: ribosomal RNA, 585 nt
Filed under: Dyadobacter fermentans
Lineage: Bacteria; Pseudomonadati; Bacteroidota; Cytophagia; Cytophagales; Spirosomataceae
Description: bacterial SSU rRNA
Rfam family: Bacterial small subunit ribosomal RNA
Source: RNAcentral